CAUUAAGAAGCUAAGGAGAAUAGCGCUAGCCUUUUAAGCUAGAGAACGGUGGCUCGCAACCACCCUUAGUGG
Molecule: transfer RNA, 72 nt
Filed under: Saurida elongata (slender lizardfish)
Lineage: Eukaryota; Metazoa; Chordata; Actinopteri; Aulopiformes; Synodontidae
Description: tRNA-Lys
Rfam family: tRNA
About the family: Transfer RNA (tRNA) molecules are approximately 80 nucleotides in length. Their secondary structure includes four short double-helical elements and three loops (D, anti-codon, and T loops).
Source: RNAcentral